GACGAACGCUGGCGGCGUGCUUAACACAUGCAAGUCGAACGAUGAAGCCUAGCUUGCUAGGUGGAUUAGUGGCGAACGGGUGAGUAAUACGUGAGUAACCUACCUUUAACUCUGGGAUAAGCCUGGGAAACUGGGUCUAAUACCGGAUACGACCAAUCUCCGCAUGGGGUGUUGGUGGAAAGCGUUAUGUAGUGGUUAUAGAUGGGCUCACGGCCUAUCAGCUUGUUGGUGAGGUAACGGCUCACCAAGGCGGCGACGGGUAGCCGGCCUGAGAGGGUGACCGGCCACACUGGGACUGAGACACGGCCCAGACUCCUACGGGAGGCAGCAGUGGGGAAUAUUGCACAAUGGGCGCAAGCCUGAUGCAGCGACGCCGCGUGAGGGAUGACGGCCUUCGGGUUGUAAACCUCUGUUAGCAGGGAAGAAGAGAGAUUGACGGUACCUGCAGAGAAAGCGCCGGCUAACUACGUGCCAGCAGCCGCGGUAAUACGUAGGGCGCGAGCGUUGUCCGGAAUUAUUGGGCGUAAAGAGCUUGUAGGCGGUUUGUCGCGUCUGCUGUGAAGGCCGGAGCUUAACUCCGUGUAUUGCAGUGGGUACGGGCAGACUAGAGUGCAGUAGGGGAGACUGGAAUUCCUGGUGUAGCGGUGGAAUGCGCAGAUAUCAGGAGGAACACCGAUGGCGAAGGCAGGUCUCUGGGCUGUAACUGACGCUGAGAAGCGAAAGCAUGGGGAGCGAACAGGAUUAGAUACCCUGGUAGUCCAUGCCGUAAACGUUGGGCACUAGGUGUGGGGAACAUUCCACGUUUUCCGCGCCGUAGCUAACGCAUUAAGUGCCCCGCCUGGGGAGUACGGCCGCAAGGCUAAAACUCAAAGAAAUUGACGGGGGCCCGCACAAGCGGCGGAGCAUGCGGAUUAAUUCGAUGCAACGCGAAGAACCUUACCAAGGCUUGACAUAUACUGGAUCGCAUCAGAGAUGGUGUUUCCCUUCGGGGCUGGUAUACAGGUGGUGCAUGGUUGUCGUCAGCUCGUGUCGUGAGAUGUUGGGUUAAGUCCCGCAACGAGCGCAACCCUCGUUCUAUGUUGCCAGCACGUUAUGGUGGGGACUCAUAGGAGACUGCCGGGGUCAACUCGGAGGAAGGUGGGGAUGACGUCAAAUCAUCAUGCCCCUUAUGUCUUGGGCUUCACGCAUGCUACAAUGGCCGGUACAGAGGGUUGCGAUACUGUGAGGUGGAGCUAAUCCCUAAAAGCCGGUCUCAGUUCGGAUUGGGGUCUGCAACUCGACCCCAUGAAGUCGGAGUCGCUAGUAAUCGCAGAUCAGCAACGCUGGCGUGAAUACGUUCCCGG
RNAcentral lists this ribosomal RNA (1343 nucleotides) under uncultured bacterium. RNAcentral's name for it is "bacterial SSU rRNA". It matches the Rfam family "Bacterial small subunit ribosomal RNA", at positions 28 to 1377 of the family's 1533-position model. The record is from RNAcentral.